UCUCCGUAGGUGAACCUGCGGAGGGAUCAUUACCGAGUUCAUAACCCACAGGGUUCUGUCCCCAUCCUAUUUUCUUAUUACUCGGUUGAUUUGGCGGGCCGUAAAGCUCCGCCGCGACCACCGGCCCCCUCUGGUAAGCUCUCUCCAGGGAACCCAAAACCCAAAACAUUAAUUUAGUAUGAGUUUUAUAUAAGAUUUUAAACUUUCAACCACCGAUCACUUGGUUUUGGCAUCGAUUGAGAACGCGUCAGAACUGAAGUCAACACGACUGAACCCUAA
RNAcentral lists this unclassified non-coding RNA (279 nucleotides) under plant metagenome. Its description in RNAcentral is "partial contains small subunit ribosomal RNA, internal transcribed spacer 1, and 5.8S ribosomal RNA". The record is from RNAcentral.